UAGCGGCGGACGGGUGAGUAACACGUGGAUAACCUACCUAUAAGACUGGGAUAACUUCGGGAAACCGGAGCUAAUACCGGAUAAUAUUUUGAACCGCAUGGUUCAAAAGCGAAAGACGGUCUUGCUGUCACUUAUAGAUGGAUCCGCGCUGCAUUAGCCUAGUUGGUAAGGUAACGGCUUACCAAGGGCAACGCAUGCAUAGCCGACCUGAGAGGGUGAUCGGCCACAGCUGGAACUGAGACACGGUCCAGACUCCUACGGGAGGCAGCAGUAGGGAAUCUUCCGCAAUGGGCGAAAGCCUGACGGAGCAACGCCGCGUGAGUGAUGAAGGUCUUCGGAUCGUAAAACUCUGUUAUUAGGGAAGAACAUAUGUGUAAGUAACUGUGCACAUCUUGACGGUACCUAAUCAGAAAGCCACGGCUAACUACGUGCCAGCAGCCGCGGUAAUACAUAGGUGGCAAGCGUUAUCCGGAAUUAGUGGGCGUAAAGCGCGCGUAGGCGGUUUUUUAAGUCUGAUGUGAAAGCCCACGGCUCAACCGUGGAGGGUCAUUGGAAACUGGAAAACUUGAGUGCAGAAGAGGAAAGUGGAAUUCCAUGUGUAGCGGUGAAAUGCGCAGAGAUAUGGAG
RNAcentral lists this ribosomal RNA (627 nucleotides) under uncultured Staphylococcus sp. Its description in RNAcentral is "bacterial SSU rRNA". It matches the Rfam family "Bacterial small subunit ribosomal RNA", at positions 93 to 703 of the family's 1533-position model. The record is from RNAcentral. Lineage: Bacteria; Bacillati; Bacillota; Bacilli; Caryophanales; Staphylococcaceae.